CAGAAACUUGUUUCGCCCAGUGGAUGCCUAUUGGUCUUCACAAAUUUACUGUGAUGGUUGCAGAAAUCUCCUGCUUCUUAACAGCACUGGCAUCUUAUUUCUGAUCAAUGACACUGAUUCUUCAGUACUUCGACAAUUAUACACUCCACUUGUACAGAAUGACAGAGCUAUUUAUCGGGCCACUCUAGAUUAUGAUGGGAAUUUUCGACUCUAUUCUCAUGAAUUUGACUCCAAUGGAAAUUCUAAAAUGGUAGUGGAGUGGGAGGCAAUUGAUGAUAUUUGUCUUGUGAAGGGUUUCUGUGGCCUUAAUGGCUAUUGUGUCAGAAGUAAUCACAAUGCACCGUCUUGUAUGUGUCUACCAGGGUCAUACUUGAGAGAGAAUGAUCCAAACUUUGGUGACUGUCAAAGGAACUUCACCAGAGGAAAGUGCAUUAAUGGGAAAGAAGAUGUAAGUGUCUACAAGAUUACUACCACAACCAAUUUGACCUGGGAGGAUCCUCCUUACUUUGUUACAUCACUUCUACGAAAAGAAGAUUGUGGUAAAUCUUGUUUGGAGGACUGCGAUUGUGAUGCUUCUCUUUUCAAUGAAAUUGGGCAGUGUAUGAAACACAAGCUGCCUUUGAGGUAUGUCAAAG
RNAcentral lists this unclassified non-coding RNA (635 nucleotides) under Hevea brasiliensis (rubber tree). Lineage: Eukaryota; Viridiplantae; Streptophyta; Magnoliopsida; Malpighiales; Euphorbiaceae. The record is from RNAcentral.